Chinchilla lanigera (long-tailed chinchilla) is the source of this 3834-nucleotide RNA transcript. It is a transcript of the gene named phosphodiesterase 7A, with no coding region annotated. NCBI's taxonomy places the organism in Eukaryota, Metazoa, Chordata, Mammalia, Rodentia, Chinchillidae. The record is from RefSeq and is a predicted model, not a curated record.
CCCAGCGCAGGGGCCGGCGGCCGCGGCAGGGCGGGCGCCGCGCGGAGGCAGGGCGGGCGUAUUCAAUGGAAGUAUGUUACCAGCUGCCGGUGCUGCCCCUGGACAGGCCGGUCCCCCAGCACGUCCUCAGCCGCCGAGGAGCCAUCAGCUUCAGCUCCAGCUCCGCGCUUUUCGGCUGUCCCAACCCCCGGCAGCUCUCACAGAGGCGUGGAGCCAUUUCCUAUGACAGUUCCGAUCAGACUGCAUUAUACAUUCGUAUGCUAGGAGAUGUACGUGUGAGGAGCCGAGCAGGAUUUGAAUCAGAAAGAAGAGGCUCUCAUCCAUACAUUGAUUUUCGCAUUUUUCACUCUCAGUCUGAGAUCGAAGUGUCUGUCUCUGCAAGGAACAUUAGAAGGUUACUAAGUUUCCAGCGCUAUCUCAGAUCCUCACGCUUUUUCCGUGGUACUACGGUUUCCAGCUCUCUUAACAUUUUAGAUGACGAUUACAAUGGACAAGCCAAGUGUAUGCUGGAAAAAGUUGGAAAUUGGAAUUUUGAUAUCUUUCUAUUUGAUAGACUAACAAAUGGAAAUAGUCUAGUAAGCUUAACCUUUCAUUUAUUUAGUCUUCAUGGACUAAUUGAAUACUUCCAUUUAGAUAUGAUGAAACUUCGUAGAUUUUUAGUUAUGAUUCAAGAAGAUUACCACAGUCAGAAUCCUUACCACAAUGCAGUCCAUGCUGCAGACGUUACUCAGGCCAUGCACUGUUACUUAAAAGAACCUAAGCUUGCCAAUUCUGUAACUCCUUGGGAUGUGUUGCUGAGCUUAAUUGCAGCUGCCACUCAUGAUCUGGAUCAUCCAGGUGUUAAUCAACCUUUCCUUAUUAAAACGAACCAUUACUUGGCAACUUUAUACAAGAAUACCUCAGUAUUGGAAAAUCACCACUGGAGAUCUGCAGUGGGCUUAUUAAGAGAAUCCGGUUUAUUCUCACAUCUACCAUUAGAAAGCAGGCAACAAAUGGAGACUCAGAUAGGUGCUUUGAUACUAGCCACAGACAUCAGUCGCCAGAACGAGUACCUGUCUUUGUUUAGGUCCCAUUUGGAUAGAGGGGACUUAUGCCUGGAAGAUGCCAGACAUAGGCAUUUGGUUUUACAGAUGGCUUUGAAAUGUGCUGAUAUUUGUAACCCUUGUCGGACCUGGGAAUUAAGUAAGCAAUGGAGUGAAAAAGUAACAGAAGAAUUCUUCCACCAAGGAGAUAUAGAAAAAAAGUAUCAUUUGAGUGUGAGUCCACUUUGUGAUCGCCAGACUGAAUCUAUUGCCAACAUCCAGAUUGGUUUUAUGACUUACCUGGUGGAGCCUUUAUUUACAGAAUGGGCCAGGUUUUCAGAUACGCGGCUGUCUCAGACAAUGCUCGGACAUGUGGGGCUGAAUAAAGCCAGCUGGGAAGGACUGCAGAGGGAGCAGCCCAGCAGGGAGGACCCCGACGCGGCAUUCCAGUUGAACUCACAGUUAUUACCUCAGGAAAAUCGGUUAUCCUAACCCCUGAACCAGUGGGGCAAACUGGCUCCUGGAAGUUUUUAGAAAUGUGAAAUGGGGUCUUGAGGUGAGAGAACUUACUCUUGACUGCCAAGGUUUCCAAGUGAAUGAUGCCAGCAUUAUUUAUUUCCAAGAUUCCCUCUGUUGGAUCAUUUGAACCUUCUUUUUAAUUAUAAGACCUGAACAUACAGCAAUAUGCAUUUGGCUUUUGUGUGAAACCUUGAAUAUGCAAAGCCCAGCAGGAGAACCUGAAAGGAAUAACAAAGGAAGUUUCUCAAGUUGUGCCAUGUGCUUUUCAAAAUAUUCAAACCCGUUCUUCAAACUGUGAAACUUGAACUGAAUAUUUCAGCAGCAAUCUCUUGGAAUCCAGCCAGUCCGAUGCAACAGUGUGUGUCUGUAUCUUCCACUAAGUUCUCUCGGAGAAAACGGAAAUGUGAAGUGCCCAGCCUCUGCUGCCUCUGGCAAGACUCAAUGUUUACAAAUCAACUCUGAAAAUCUUGGUUCUAAAUUGCCUUGGAGCAUGAUUGUGAAGGAACCACUAAAAAACUUAAAGAUCAAACUUUAGACUGCAGCUCUUUCCCCCGGUUUGCCUUUUUUCCCCUUCCUUUGGAUGCCACCAAAGCCUCCCAUUUGCUCUAUUUUAUUUUGUGCACUGGAAACUGAGCAUUUAUCAUAGAGUACGGCCAAGCUUUCACUCCAGUGCUGUUUGGCAAUGCAAAUUUUUUUACCUGUUCGUUUUUUAAUUUGGGGCGGGAGGGGAAGAACACCAAUGUCCUAGCUGUAUUAUGACUCUGCAGUGAAGACAUUGCAUGUUGUUUUCACUACUGUACACUUGACCUGCACAUGCAAGAAAAAGGUGGAAUGUUUAAAACACCAUAAUCAGCUCAGGGUAUUUGCCAAUCUGAAAUAAAGUGGGAUGGGGAAGUGUGUCCUUCCGAUCAAGGGUACUAAAGUCCCUUUCGCUGCAGUGAGUGAGAGGCAAAUCUUCUUGACAAGCCAACUUGUGAACUGGGUGAGCGUGGAUUCUGAGCGAGGGAAGCAAGUUGCCUCAUGCAUCCAUCUCCCUGUGGGGAUACAUCUGCUGUUAGCGUGUCCGUGGACCCGGGUACUCUCCUCCCCGGAUGAUGCUAGAGAUUCUCUGCCCGGAGUUGCUUCUCCACAUUAGCUUGUGAUGGGCAGCUCUAUCACAUACGUCAUUACCUUCAGCCGUCUUUCAGUUGAGCUUGUCUAGGCUCCAUUCUGCCUGUAUGACUGCUUGCUUUUUGCUCUGAUUUUUUUGUCUUACAAUUUAAUAAUCAGUUUCCUCUUUGCAUAUUCUCAGGGACACCUCAGUGUUGCUUCCAUCUUUCUGCCUGAACAUAUAAUAAACCCAAUGAAAAGUUGUGUUUUAUUAUGUAUGUGAGAAUCCCAUUCUGUUGCCCUGUUUCUUAGAUGUGACUUAUAUACCUGAACAUGGACUUUUCUAGAAACUUCGAAAGUUAAAUAUUUAGGUCACAUUUUUUUAAAGCAAAUACUAUUGAACAGAAUGCAAACGUCACACAAAUUUUCAAGAUGAAACACAUUUCAAAGUUGAACAUGUAGAAGCCUCUUUGAGCUCUCUGUCCAACAUUUUAGUGGCAAGGGAAUCUCUGCUUUAGGGGUAAAAAUCCUUGGAGAGUUUUGACAAGUCCUAGUCCAACACUGAUAAAAACUGGUUCCUUGUCAGUAUUUGUACUCACUGUCAGUGUGGUUUCUAAUGAUCCUCUUUGUAUAAAAGUAAAAAUUACAUUUUAUGUUUUUGCAAACCUGGAAAAUAUUCUUGUACCUGAGGUACAGGUUAAGAGGUGCUAGUAAUUCCUUCAGGACUCUGAAAAGGGUCUCUUAAUUUUCCUCAAUGCUUUCUUGGCUUUUAUUAAACUAUUUUCUUAAAACUGUAAAAUUUUCACAUCGAGUUUCCAGUGUCUUCAUAUAUAAAUAUUUUAAUGUAUACUGUUUAAAUUCCCUUCCAGUUGUGUCUGCCAAUUGACAAAAUACGUACUGACCAAUAAUAUGAAUUCAUACUGCUUUUAUUAAAGAAAUGUACAUGCUAGUGACCAUGGCAUCAAUGUCCAUCUGAAACAGGGUAAACAUGGGCAAAACCCAGUCUGCAGUCCUUCCUUGCUGAGGACCUGCAGCACGUGCCACUUGGAAGAGCUAAGCCCGUGCCCGCAGGAGGAGCGAGCACUACUUGGGGGGUGAAGUGACAAAGGGCACGUCUUGGGUCAUCUGUCUUCCUGGCUCCUGUGUUCAGUAUAGGGCUGGUGUAAAUUGGGCCAUCAAUAAAUUUGUUUGUUGAACAAACUAA